UUUGCUAAAGAUGAUGGCUGGCGGAGAUGCUUUUAUCAUGUAGGUUGUGAAAGACUUUAUCUUUACGUGAUCAAAAGAAAAUGAAAAAGAAUUGUUAGAAAAUCAAAAAGAAAUCAAGGCAAAGAAAGAGAUUCCUUUGGUUCACACUUCACACACAGACAGAGAGGAAUUUUUGCCUUUAUUCAUGUUCGCACUUCACAGUUCACGCCUUUUCUCUCAUUCUCUUUUAUCUUAUGAUUCCUUCUUUCUCCCCAAGUUGAUCUCCUGUGUUAAGAAAUGGCUUAAAAUUGGUAGUGGAUUGUUGUUGUUGGUAGUGGGUUGUUGGUGGUAGUGGAUUAGUGGAUGGUUGUUGGUGUCCAUUUUCAACCACAAAUCUUUGCCAAAGUUUUGGACAAUUAUGUCCUUGAACUCUCUUAUAAAUAGAGAGGUUCAUUAGCCAUAUUCAUCAUCCCAAACCAAGAGAGAGCAAAGCUUGUUCUUUGAAAGCUAGGAUUUUAGCUUUCGGGUUUUCUAUAGGGGUUGAGAGUUGUGAGGUUCUCGGGUUGUGUCUUGAGUGUAAAACACUUGUAAUCUUCAUCUUGUUAUAGUGAAAUUUCUUUUCGCCUCUGCCCGUGGACGUAGGCAUUAAAGCCGAACCACGUAAAUCCUUGUGUUCACUUUAUUUUUCGUUCCGGUCAAUUUACUUGUAGUCAUAUCGGAGUUCUCGAAUCGAUCCUUUCCGCAACAAAUUGGUAUCAGAGCGUAGUUGAAGGAGUGAUAAUAUUUUCUGAAUUGCCCUGUGACUGCAGCUUUGUCUGAUCUUUCACAUCAGGAAGAAAAUAUUAUCAUUCAUUCAAAGGUUCCAAAUUAUGGCUACAAGUGUUUCAUCGACUAAGUAUGAUGUCGAGAAAUUUACCGGGAAAAAUAGUUUCAGUUUAUGGCGCAUCAAGAUGCGGGCAGUGCUGGUUCAACAAGGAUUGCUAAAAGCAUUGUCUGGUAAAGAUAAAUUACCAAGCACGCUUUCGGAAGAGCAAAAGGAUGACAUGCUAGAAAGAGCACAUAGUGCUAUUCUGCUAUGUCUAGGAGAUGAAGUGCUACGAGAAGUAGCGGAUGAGAAAACCGCGUCCGGUUUGUGGCUCCGGUUAGAGAGCAAGUACAUGACGAAGUCAUUGACGAACCGGCUCUACCUCAAGCAAAGACUCUAUGCCCUGAAGAUGGAGGAAGGUACACCUGUUUCCCAGCACCUGGAUAAAUUCAAUUCCAUUAUCAUGGAUUUGAAUAAUAUCGAUAACAAAAUCGAUGAUGAGGACCAAGCAAUAAUUGUUUUGUGUUCUUUGCCUCCCUCGUAUGAGAAUUUUGUUGAUACAAUGAUGUACGGUCGUGAUGACCUGACUCUAGAGGAGGUGAAAAAUGCCUUAAGUUCCAGUGAGUUGAGGAAGAAAAUCACUGGUAAGGUGGUCGAAAACAAUGAAGGCGAAGGCUUGGUUGCUCGAGGAAGAUCCAAGGCAAAGGGUGGAAGUUCAAGUAAAAGCCAUCCUAGAUCGCAGUCCAAGAAGAGAAUACAGUGCUACUACUGUAAGAAGUACGGGCACAUGAAGGUAGAUUGUCCGAAAAGGAAGGAGAAAUCAGAAUCACAGGAGCAACAAAAUGAUCGUGCGAAUGUAGCUGAUGCAGAUUCUUCAAGUGAUGCCGAGAUCGUUCUUGCAGUAUCCGACUCUUACGCUGGUGGGAGAUGGAUUCUUGAUACGGGAGCUACAUUUCAUAUAAGUACUUCGAAAGAUGCAUUCUCAACAUACGAGAAGCAUUCUGGUUCAGUACUAAUGGGAAAUGACCACGCAUGUCAAGUCAUGGGGAUUGGCACAGUUCGUAUAAAGAUGUUUGACGGUAUUGUUAGAACUCUAACUGAUGUUCGGCACAUUCCAGAAAUGAAGAAAAAUUUGAUCUCUUUGAGUACGUUGGACAAGAAAGGCUUUCGGUACUCUGCUGAAGGUGGAGUUCUCAAGGUAUUCUCGGGUGCUUUGACUGUGAUACGUGGUAAUUUGGAGCGGGGCCUUUACUUCCUCGAUGGUUCCUCGGUUACAGGUGUUGCGGGAGUGUCAUCAUCAGAUGAUCUAGAUUCUGACACCACGAAGUUAUGGCAUAUGCGGCUCGGGCAUAUGAGCGAGAGAGGCUUAUCGGUGCUAAGCAAACGAGGAUUAUUGUCUGGGCAGUGUACAGGAAAGUUGAAUUUCUGUGAGCACUGCGUCUUCGGUAAGCAGACUCGGGUAAAGUUCAGCACUGGGAUUCACAAGACAAAAGGCACAGUGGAUUACUUCCAUUCUGACCUUUGGGGGCCUUCUCCGACAAUUUCUAAAGGUGGUUACAGAUAUCUGCUUACCUUUAUCGAUGAUUACUCGAGAAAGGUUUGGGUGUAUUUUCUGAAGAGCAAGUAUGAGGUUCUCAUCAACUUCAAGCAAUUUAAAGCUUUGAUCGAAAAUCAAACAGGAAAGAAGAUCAAGCGAUUCCGGACGGAUAAUGGCUUGGAGUUUUGCUCAGGUGAAUUCAAUGAGUUCUGCAAAAAUGAAGGAAUAGUGAGACACCGCACUGUUCGUCGAACACCACAACAAAAUGGAGUUGCAGAACGCAUGAAUAGAACUCUCUUGGAGCGAGCUCGUUGCAUGCGAUCAAAUGCUGGGCUCGGUGAAGAAUUUUGGGCUGAAGCUGUUAAUACUGCUUGUUAUUUGGUUAACAGAUCUCCGUCAACAGCUAUUGAGCUGAAGACUCCUGAGGAAGUAUGGUCUGGUUCUCCUGCUGAUUACUCUGGUUUAAGAGUGUUUGGCUGCCCUGCGUAUGCUCAUGUAAAUGAGGGAAAACUCAAACCGAGGGCGAAGAAAUGCAUAUUUCUUGGAUACGGCCAAGGGGUGAAAGGAUACAGGUUGUGGUGUCCUGAUCCGGUUUCGUCCAAGUUCAUCAUCAGCAGAGAUGUGACUUUUGAUGAGUCAUCCAUGCUUCGAUCCACCACAAAUUCCCGGGAAAAGGAGGAGUCAGAUAGAAUGGGAGAUCACGGUGUUGAGAAGCAGGUGGAGUGUCAGGUGGACGCUCCAAUUCCUACGGAAGGUACUUCAGUCCAGGAUGAUCAAGUUGAGGUGCAAGAUUCCGAUGAAGAUGAGUCACCUCAAGAAAAACCAUAUAGCAUUGCCACUGGAAGAACGAAGAGACAAAUCAAACCAAAUCCGCGUUACGCUAAUCUGGUGUCUUUCGCGCUCAGUGUGGCGGAGUCCAUUGGUAUAGAACCUUCCAGUUAUAAUGAGGCUGUCACGUGUGAUGAGUCGGCACAGUGGGCAAUUGCUAUGAGUGAGGAGAUAGAAUCUCUUCACAAGAACCAUACUUGGGAGUUGGUUAAGCCGCCAAGUAACCAGAAGAUAGUUGGUUGCAAAUGGGUCUUCAAGAAAAAGGAAGGCAUCCUAGGGGUUGAAGCAACUAGAUUCAAGGCACGAUUGGUUGCUAAAGGCUUCACUCAGAAAGAGGGGAUUGACUACAAUGAAGUUUUCUCCCCAGUCGUAAAGCAUUCUUCCAUUCGUGUAUUACUUGCCAUGGUGGCCAAGUCUGAUCUAGAACUUGAGCAGCUUGACGUAAAAACGGCGUUCUUGCAUGGUGAGCUCGAGGAAACAAUCUACAUGCGUCAACCAGAGGGUUUUACAGUUCCUGGUAAAGAAGACCAUGUCUGUCUAUUAAAGAAGUCUUUAUAUGGAUUGAAACAAUCCCCAAGGCAGUGGUACAAGCGGUUUGAUAGCUUCAUGAUUCAGCAUGGUUACACAAGAUGUGACUAUGAUGCUUGUGUCUAUCAUCGGAAGCUCUCAGAUGGUUCGCACAUUUAUUUGUUGCUGUAUGUUGAUGACAUGUUAAUUGCUUCCAAAAACAUGUCGGAAAUCAACAAGUUAAAGUCGCAGUUGAGUGGUGAGUUCGAGAUGAAGGAUCUGGGUGCUGCCAAGAAAAUUUUGGGCAUGGAUAUUCACAGAGAUCGCAAGGCGGGCAAGCUUCGUGUGUCGCAGAAGAACUACAUUGAAAAGGUUCUUCAACGCUUCGGCAUGGAUAAAGCGAAAACUGUGAGUACUCCGUUGGCACCACAUUUCAAACUCUCUGCAGAGUUGUCACCACAAUCUGAUGAAGAAAAGCAGCAAAUGUCUCACAUUCCAUACUCGAGUGCAGUUGGAAGCGUGAUGUAUGCAAUGGUUUGCACUCGUCCAGACAUUUCACAUGCAGUUAGUGUGGUCAGCAGAUACAUGAGUUGUCCUGGCAAGGAACACUGGCAGGCCGUGAAAUGGAUUCUCAGGUACUUGAGAGGUUCUGCAGAUUUAUGCUUGGUAUAUGAUCAGAGUGACUGCACUAGCAGUGUCACGGGCUAUGCGGACUCUGAUUAUGCUGGAGAUCUGGACAAAAGAAGAUCUCUGACGGGUUAUGUUUUCACUUAUUCUGGAGGAGCCAUUAGUUGGAAAGCUGUGUUACAGUCUACCGUAGCCUUAUCUACGACUGAGGCGGAAUAUAUGGCGUUAGCAGAAGCAGUGAAAGAAGCAUUGUGGAUGAAAGGUCUAGUAAGCAGUUUGGGUUUACAACAGGAUUUCACUGUUGUAUUUUGCGAUAGCCAGAGUGCCAUACAUCUGACUAAAAAUCAGAUGUUUCAUGAACGGACCAAACACAUUGAUGUCAGAUAUCAUUUUGUUCGGGAACAUGUUACGCAAGGUGACAUUGUUAUCAGCAAGGUUGCUACCGAGAAGAAUCCUGCAGAUAUGUUAACUAAGGUGAUCCCUGCAUAUAAGUUCAAGCAUUGCUUGGACUUGAUAGGUAUUCGGGAUUGAUUAGCGCCAGAGAGGCGUUUGGAAGAGGUGAUCCAGUUCACUAUGAUGUUCAGCUUGGUAAAUUUCAAGCCAAGGUGGAGAUUUGUUAAGAAAUGGCUUAAAAUUGGUAGUGGAUUGUUGUUGUUGGUAGUGGGUUGUUGGUGGUAGUGGAUUAGUGGAUGGUUGUUGGUGUCCAUUUUCAACCACAAAUCUUUGCCAAAGUUUUGGACAAUUAUGUCCUUGAACUCUCUUAUAAAUAGAGAGGUUCAUUAGCCAUAUUCAUCAUCCCAAACCAAGAGAGAGCAAAGCUUGUUCUUUGAAAGCUAGGAUUUUAGCUUUCGGGUUUUCUAUAGGGGUUGAGAGUUGUGAGGUUCUCGGGUUGUGUCUUGAGUGUAAAACACUUGUAAUCUUCAUCUUGUUAUAGUGAAAUUUCUUUUCGCCUCUGCCCGUGGACGUAGGCAUUAAAGCCGAACCACGUAAAUCCUUGUGUUCACUUUAUUUUUCGUUCCGGUCAAUUUACUUGUAGUCAUAUCGGAGUUCUCGAAUCGAUCCUUUCCGCAACAUCCUGUCAUAGGAUAGGUGCACAAUAAGAACGCACCACCUUAGGCCUUAAGGCUUAACCUCAUCCCCCAUUCAGUACUUAAUUGCAUUCUUCUGGCGUUUCCCUUUUAUGCAAUGACACUUUCUUUAUAUAUUGAGAAAAUAGUUCUUUCACUGUUAAUGCUUAUCUUCUUGUAACUCCCUUUUUCUUUCUUCUUCUUUUUCACUGUCAUUCCAGUGCAGUUUCUCACCACCUUUCUGGUUUUCAGAUUCUUUUGUUUUAACUUCUGUUGCUGGUUUUCAAAGAUUUUCUAUUAGGAGUAGUUUUUUUAGCUUGAGGCUUAGAGAAAGUUUUGGUUUUUAAGGAAGGCCUAAACUAAGAAGAAGGAAGAGAAAAAAUGGCAGGAGGAGGGGG
Molecule: long non-coding RNA, 5748 nt
Filed under: Gossypium barbadense (sea-island cotton)
Lineage: Eukaryota; Viridiplantae; Streptophyta; Magnoliopsida; Malvales; Malvaceae
Description: long non-coding RNA (GBAR_LNC002626)
Source: RNAcentral